This 490-nucleotide ribosomal RNA is filed under the name uncultured bacterium. RNAcentral's name for it is "bacterial SSU rRNA". It matches the Rfam family "Bacterial small subunit ribosomal RNA", at positions 28 to 526 of the family's 1533-position model. The record is from RNAcentral.
GACGAACGCUGGCGGCGUGCUUAACACAUGCAAGUCGAACGGAAAGGCCCUUCGGGGUACUCGAGUGGCGAACGGGUGAGUAACACGUGGGUGAUCUGCCCUGCACUUUGGGAUAAGCCUGGGAAACUGGGUCUAAUACCGAAUAGGACUGCGCUCUUCAUGGGGUGUGGUGGAAAGCUUUUGCGGUGUGGGAUGGGCCCGCGGCCUAUCAGCUUGUUGGUGGGGUAAUGGCCUACCAAGGCGACGACGGGUAGCCGGCCUGAGAGGGUGACCGGCCACACUGGGACUGAGACACGGCCCAGACUCCUACGGGAGGCAGCAGUGGGGAAUAUUGGACAAUGGGCGAAAGCCUGAUCCAGCAACGCCGCGUGAGGGAUGACGGCCUUCGGGUUGUAAACCUCUUUCAGUACCGACGAAGCGCCAACAACGGUGGUGACGGUAGGUACAGAAGAAGGACCGGCCAACUACGUGCCAGCCGCCGCCGUAAAAC